This 447-nucleotide ribosomal RNA is filed under the name Chaetothyriales sp. MACp11d. Its description in RNAcentral is "partial 18S ribosomal RNA". The stretch from base 10 to 347 matches the Rfam family "Group I catalytic intron". From Rfam's summary of the family: Group I catalytic introns are large self-splicing ribozymes. Lineage: Eukaryota; Fungi; Ascomycota; Eurotiomycetes; Chaetothyriales. The record is from RNAcentral.
CUUUGUCGCCUGAAAGGGUGUGCAUACCGCGACUAUAAACAAUGUAAGUAUGUCAAGGACAAGUCGGGGGCCUAUCUAGGCCUCCGGCGACGCUGUCAAAUUGCGGGGAGUCCCUUAGAGCUUUCACUACUAAGCGGUGUCUGAAAGGUCACCGUGGCCAGGGUAAUUCCCUCGGGUACAGUCACAACGUGAAAGAUUGGGUAACCUGCAGCCAAGUCCUGUCGCCUAAAGAGAGUUGGUCCCGGACUGCUUUCUUACGGGUGUGGAUGCUGUUCACAGGCCAAAUGGUAGCGGGUUCGGCUGUGGCCGGGCUCAAGAUAUGGUCGGUCCCGCGAGGAAACUUGUGGGGAGUUCGCCGGGUUAAUGGGGCUCUCGUCGUGCGAGUUGCGCCUAAACCAGUAACAAGAAAAUAAACGUUCCGUAGGUGAACCUGCGGAAGGAUCAUUA